GACGAACGCUGGCGGCGUGCUUAACACAUGCAAGUCGAACGAUGAAGCUGGAGCUUGCUCCGGUGGAUUAGUGGCGAACGGGUGAGUAACACGUGAGCAAUCUGCCCUUGACUCUGGGAUAACUGCGGGAAACUGUAGCUACUACCGGAUACGAGAUUUGGAGGCAUCGCCGGCUCUGGAAAGAAUUUGAGUCAAGGAUGAGAGCGCGGGCUAUCAGCUGGUUGGUGAGGUAAUGGCUCACCAAGGCGACGACGGGUAGCCGGCCUGAGAGGGUGACCGGCCACACUGGGACUGAGACACGGCCCAGACUCCUACGGGAGGCAGCAGUGGGGAAUAUUGCACAAUGGGCGAAAGCCUGAUGCAGCAACGCCGCGUGAGGGAUGAAGGCGUUCGGGUUGUAAACCUCUUUUAGUAGGGAAGAAGCGAAAGUGACGGUACCUACAGAAAAAGCACCGGCUAACUACGUGCCAGCAGCCGCGGUAA
Molecule: ribosomal RNA, 483 nt
Filed under: uncultured bacterium
Lineage: Bacteria
Description: partial 16S ribosomal RNA
Rfam family: Bacterial small subunit ribosomal RNA
Source: RNAcentral